UGCUCAAUGCCACGUUGACGGUAGCGAAGCGCCGUGACCGUCGAUGCUAUGAUUGAGCAAAAGUCGAUCCUUUGGAGUUUCGCAUCUUGAUAGGAAUCUGUGGACUGAUUACCAUUCAUCCAUGGAGCCGAUUUGUGCGAUUACAUCC
This is a small nucleolar RNA of Nymphaea colorata (pocket water lily), 148 nucleotides long. RefSeq annotates it as small nucleolar RNA snoR2/U65. The record is from RefSeq and is a predicted model, not a curated record. NCBI's taxonomy places the organism in Eukaryota, Viridiplantae, Streptophyta, Magnoliopsida, Nymphaeales, Nymphaeaceae. The transcript has a single exon.